Molecule: long non-coding RNA, 601 nt
Filed under: Citrus maxima (pomelo)
Lineage: Eukaryota; Viridiplantae; Streptophyta; Magnoliopsida; Sapindales; Rutaceae
Description: long non-coding RNA (CMAX_LNC000869)
Source: RNAcentral
UUUGAAUCCAUUAUUUAAAAAUGAAAAUUAGUUUCUACAAAUCAAAGUAUAAUAAUCACAAUCUUCAUUUCCUUCUUAGAAAAAGACUUGGCCUUCAUCAUAGUACACGAAUCGAAACACUAAUAAGCAAAACUCACUGAAAUUAGCAACACAUAUAAUUCAAACUAUGCCCAUUGCCCAACAAAACCUGUGGUUUCAUGCCAAGCAAGUCCAUGGCCGCGCGUGGCCAUUCCAAGCAAACCCAUAGUAGUGCGUGGCCAUGCCAAGCAAGCCAUGGCCACGCGCAGCCAUUCCAAGCAAGCCCAUGGCUGCGCUCGGCCAUGCCAAGCAAGUCCAUGGCCGCACACAGCCAUUCCAAACAAACCCAUGGCCGCACGCGGCCAUGUCAAGCAUACGAUGAUUCAAGCAAUGGGUCUUGAUGAUUUCAAUGAUUAGUUUGGUUUUAGGUUUAUUGGUAAAUUUGGAAAGAAAGUAUGGUUUGUUUAAAGGAUAAGAUGGGCCAAGUUUUGGAACAGCGGUGUUGGCAGCCAUCGCCCGAUUCCAAAUCUUCGUCGCGAGUUACUGCCGUGGCUUCCAUGGCUCUAUAAUGCUUGAAGAAGAU